UAGAGUUUGAUCCUGGCUCAGGACGAACGCUGGCGGCGUGCCUAAUACAUGCAAGUAGAACGCUGAAGAGAGGAGCUUGCUCUUCUUGGAAGAGUUGCGAACGGGUGAGUAACGCGUAGGUAACCUGCCUUGUAGCGGGGGAUAACUAUUGGAAACGAUAGCUAAUACCGCAUAACAAUGGGUGACCCAUGUCAUUCAUUUGAAAGGGGCAAAUGCUCCACUACAAGAUGGACCUGCGUUGUAUUAGCUAGUAGGUGAGGUAACGGCUCACCUAGGCGACGAUACAUAGCCGACCUGAGAGGGUGAUCGGCCACACUGGGACUGAGACACGGCCCAGACUCCUACGGGAGGCAGCAGUAGGGAAUCUUCGGCAAUGGGGGCAACCCUGACCGAGCAACGCCGCGUGAGUGAAGAAGGUUUUCGGAUCGUAAAGCUCUGUUGUAAGUCAAGAACGAGUGUGAGAGUGGAAAGUUCACAUCUGU
This 482-nucleotide ribosomal RNA is filed under the name Streptococcus salivarius. RNAcentral describes it as "bacterial SSU rRNA". It matches the Rfam family "Bacterial small subunit ribosomal RNA", at positions 1 to 476 of the family's 1533-position model. The record is from RNAcentral. Lineage: Bacteria; Bacillati; Bacillota; Bacilli; Lactobacillales; Streptococcaceae.